AUACUCUGGUUUCUCUUCAGAGAAAAUAAAUCUUUCACCUUUUCCUCAAGAUUUCAUUGUAGAGGACUAAGCAAGAGUUUUUUGCUUAAUUUUGAGACCUUGUUAUUGUAAGAC
Monodelphis domestica (gray short-tailed opossum) is the source of this 114-nucleotide small nuclear RNA. Its record names the gene U5. It matches the Rfam family "U5 spliceosomal RNA". From Rfam's summary of the family: U5 RNA is a component of both types of known spliceosome. The record is from Ensembl. NCBI's taxonomy places the organism in Eukaryota, Metazoa, Chordata, Mammalia, Didelphimorphia, Didelphidae.